UGCAGUAGUUGCAGUAGUAGCUGAGCUGGCCUGUCAUUGUAAUUACCCACUCCCGGCUCAGGGAGGUAGUGACGAAAAAUAGCGUUUCAAGGCCCUGUGAUUGGAAUGAGUACACUUUAAAUCCUUUAACGAGGAUCCAUUGGAGGGCACGUCUGGUGCCAGCAGCCGCGGUAGUUCCAGCUCCAAUUGCG
Lepisosteus oculatus (spotted gar) is the source of this 191-nucleotide ribosomal RNA. It matches the Rfam family "Eukaryotic small subunit ribosomal RNA", at positions 29 to 599 of the family's 1831-position model. NCBI's taxonomy places the organism in Eukaryota, Metazoa, Chordata, Actinopteri, Semionotiformes, Lepisosteidae. The record is from Rfam.